CACCUGGAAGCCACAUUGUCAUCCGUGAAGGGAGUCGGCUCUUAUAUUUUUGUGUUUUUUGAAGCGAAUUAUCCUGUUCCCGAGGGAGCCAUGCAUCUAGAAACGUAGAGUACGUGGCGGCACGGGGCUUGAGGGGCAGGGCGACACGUGCAUUGCAUUCCUGUGUGUGAAGUUGGAGAGCGGGAUAUAAGCCGGCUGGGGAAGGAGACGGUGGCUGAGUGGUUAGCGUGCCGGUCCUGCGUUCACUGCGUCAUGGAUGAUGAGGGUUUGAAUCUGUCGCUGCCACUGACUACUUGUCCUGAAGACCACCACCAUCAUCCUGGACUGUAUGGGACUGUCCAAGGGAAAGCAAGAUGGGGCCGCUAUAAACACUUGCCGGCUUGGGCCCACCACCAGGCCCAGCCGAGGGAGGUUGGUGUAGCAGUGCCGGGAGGUUCCAUAACACAGGGCACUCCUCACCUCAACAACAGUCUCUUCACCGACAAGUAAUUCUUCACCAACAAGCUUUUCAGCAGCUUGGAGAAAUAGAGACAAGAGGAGGAGGAGGAAGAAGAGGAGGAGGAGGACUUUGAAGACUGACAGACAGACAUCAUUCCAGUGAUGAAAGAGGAAGAGGAAGAGGAAGAGGAGGAGGAGGAGGACACAGGAAUUUCUUGAAUUGAACGGACAUCUCGGUCUGCCUGCAGCACACCACACACUCUGGAAGAAGAAAGAACACCAAGAUGUCAAGUUCCUGCAUAAUCAGCCUCUUAGUGAAGGAAAUGUGCUCUAUUUAUUUAAUAAAUGAUUGACAAAAAAAUAA
This is a long non-coding RNA of Eriocheir sinensis (Chinese mitten crab), 802 nucleotides long. RefSeq lists it as uncharacterized. Lineage: Eukaryota; Metazoa; Arthropoda; Malacostraca; Decapoda; Varunidae. The record is from RefSeq and is a predicted model, not a curated record. The transcript is spliced from 7 exons.